CCUACGGGAGGCAGCAGUGGGGGAUAUUGCACAAUGGGGGGAACCCUGAUGCAGCGACGCCGCGUGGGUGAAGAAGCGCCUCGGCGCGUAAAGCCCUGUCAGCAGGGAAGAAAAUGCCGGUACCUGAAGAAGACGCCCCGGCUAACUACGUGCCAGCAGCCGCGGUCAUACGUAGGGGGCCAGCGUUAUCAGGAUUUACUGGGUGUAAAGGGGGCGCAGACGGCGAUGCAAGCCAGGUGUGAAAGCCCGGGGCCCAACCCCGGGACUGCUCUUGGAAAUGCGUGGCUGGAGUGCAGGAGGGGCAGGCGAAAGGCCUGGGUUAGCGGUGAAAUGCGUAGAUAUCAGGAGGAACACCGGUGGCGAGGGCGGCCUGCGGGACUGCAACUGACGUUGAGGCCCGAAAGCGUGGGGAGCAAACAGGAUUAGAUACCCUAGUAGC
Molecule: ribosomal RNA, 439 nt
Filed under: uncultured bacterium
Lineage: Bacteria
Description: partial 16S ribosomal RNA
Rfam family: Bacterial small subunit ribosomal RNA
Source: RNAcentral